UCAGAAAUACAUUCAGAGGGACAAGUGGUCCAGAGAAAUAAUAAAAUCGCACCCUUCCGUAGGCAUACACAGAGAGGAGGGCAAUGAAAGCCACUGGGGUUAUGGUGCCAGAUCCAGGACCACACUGCUCGAGAAAGCUGGAUACCAAGCUAAGCCCCAGGCUUGAGGACCUGUCCUUGCUGCCCACAGUCCAUCACCUCUCUUUGAAGCUGACUAUGUGGUCCUAAAGUGUGGUGCUGCCUCCAUAAAGAAAACUGUGCAUUUCAGAAUUGGCCCACCCUGCUGCAGGCCCACCUCCUGGUGUGGUGCCCACCAACAGAAGACCCAAGGUCUAACUGCAACCCUUCCUGAACCCACAGCACAUCAGACGAGAAAUAAUGCCACACGGCAGGUGCACUUGGACAUGCAUGCGUCAUUACCAGUCAAAGCCAAGAUGUAUUUCAGGAAAAUUUAUAAGGCAGAAA
Long non-coding RNA from Odocoileus virginianus texanus, 464 nucleotides. RefSeq lists it as uncharacterized. Lineage: Eukaryota; Metazoa; Chordata; Mammalia; Artiodactyla; Cervidae. The record is from RefSeq and is a predicted model, not a curated record.